Non-coding RNA from Trichonephila inaurata madagascariensis, 75 nucleotides. Lineage: Eukaryota; Metazoa; Arthropoda; Arachnida; Araneae; Nephilidae. The record is from the annotation of a GenBank genome assembly.
AUAAGAGAUACAGCUCAGUGGUAGAGCAUUCAACUGCCCAUUGAUAGGUCCCCGGUUCAAACCCGGGUUUUUAUU